This 1110-nucleotide unclassified non-coding RNA is filed under the name Hevea brasiliensis (rubber tree). Lineage: Eukaryota; Viridiplantae; Streptophyta; Magnoliopsida; Malpighiales; Euphorbiaceae. The record is from RNAcentral.
GUGGGGGGGCGCUGUGGGGCGUGGGGGGAGAACUAAAUCAAGGGAUUGGCUUGGUUUUUUUCACAAGUUUCUUUUCUCCAAAAUCAGAUAACAGCAAAUUGUUUCAUCUUUUUUGUUGGAAGGUGAAACAAAAGACCUAUUGUUGAUGAUUAAAUACAGCAAGAGGAGAUUGGCAUUAAUUUGAACAAAGGAGACAAGACUGGUUUAUGCAGGCGUGAAAGUAGUUUUGUCUGCAGUGGAGGAGAGAUCAUGUGUCCAAAAGAUGAGUGAGAAUUUUUUGGAAGGUGAAAAACAAGAUCUAUUGUUGAUGAUCAAAUACAGCAGAUGGAGCUUGUCAUUAAUUUAAACAAAGACAAUAAACUCAUUUUUGCAUGCACGAGAGUUGUUUUGGCUGCAUAGGAGAGACCAUGGGUUCAAAAGAUGAGUAAGAAUUCAUUGUGAGAGUUAAUGGCUCCUGUCAUUUUUUGGCUGGCUUGAAUGAAACAAAUAGGAUUUUCAGGCAGAGGACCUCCACUCUGUUCAUAUAGAUUUGUGAAUUAGGACUUAAGGGUUUAGUAUUGUGGUAAACCUUUUCAACCUUUUUUUUUUUUAAUCUAUUGCAGAUUUUAUGGAUACCUUAUUGUAAAUCACUUUUUAUUUCUUUGUAAUUGGGUGCCAAACCCUUAAUGCCUUGUAAUGACUUUAUUUAUUUAUAAAGGAAUUUUUAAGAAGAAAAAUGCCUCUCUCUAGCCAAUAUGCACAUCCAUCAACGUUUACUCAACACUGACCCAUCUCAAACUAAAUUUCAUUACAAGAACUUAACCCUCUCCACUGAGACUCAUUAAGCGUCUCACCUCUCCAUUAAGCCUCUCAAUCUCACCUUUAGUUGGUUAAUGUCAAUCAAAUAAAAUAUGAAAUACAUUCACACAACUCAUUAACUGUCACCCUAUAAUGACAAAAUGAAAAUGAUAAAUUGAUCAACAAAUCUGAAUGUGAAGAGAAUAGCAUAGGCAGAUCACUUAAGCAAUUAAAUAUUGAAUCAAAUCAAUUAUUCACUAAAAGUACAAGAAAUCAAAACAGAAUAUGAAAACCAUGAGUGGAAGGUCUCACAUUGGACAAGGCCAGUCAUUA